GGCUCUGUAGCAAAGCGGUUAAUGCGUCAGUCUUGUAAACUGAAGGUCCUGGGUUCGAAUCCCAGCAGAGCCUCCA
This 76-nucleotide transfer RNA is filed under the name Badhamia polycephala. Its description in RNAcentral is "Physarum polycephalum tRNA-Thr". It matches the Rfam family "tRNA". From Rfam's summary of the family: Transfer RNA (tRNA) molecules are approximately 80 nucleotides in length. Their secondary structure includes four short double-helical elements and three loops (D, anti-codon, and T loops). The record is from RNAcentral. Lineage: Eukaryota; Evosea; Eumycetozoa; Physariida; Physaraceae.